RNAcentral lists this long non-coding RNA (461 nucleotides) under Homo sapiens (human). RNAcentral describes it as "HSALNT0396250". The record is from RNAcentral. Lineage: Eukaryota; Metazoa; Chordata; Mammalia; Primates; Hominidae.
CCUCACCUUCUGAGCUACUCAAGAGAUGGGGGACAGGAGCAGUACUGCCAAGAACAGUUGUGCAAGUUGCACACUGCACAAGCAUACCAGACAGAAGCUAGAGCAGAAGCUGACGUCGUCUGUUCCCCUCACCACACAUUGCAUCUGCCCAGAGGAAGAGGUGCCGUGCUGGGCAGUGAAUGAAUGAACCUUGCCCUGGGUUUAACACUCCAGUGGGAUGAACAGACAAACCCCACAAGCACUGCAUACGGCUUCAUGUCCAUUUUGGGUCGUUGCAAGGAGGUUCUGCUCAUCAUAGUCUCCGAUGGAACAGCCACAUUCUGGAACAUUAUGAAACAUUGCUUGCUGUCACGCUGGAAGGAAGAAAGGCAAGAGCAGGAAAUAUCUGGCCAACAGAACGAAUGGCGUCCAACUAACAGCAUCUUGUGAAAAUAAAAUGAGUUAAUGAAAGUUAACUCACU